GGCAAUUCGAGCGGAUGAUGGGAGCUUGCUCCUGGAUUCAGCGGCGGACGGGUGAGUAAUGCCUAGGAAUCUGCCUGGUAGUGGGGGACAACGUUUCGAAAGGAACGCUAAUACCGCAUACGUCCUACGGGAGAAAGCAGGGGACCUUCGGGCCUUGCGCUAUCAGAUGAGCCUAGGUCGGAUUAGCUAGUUGGUGGGGUAAAGGCCUACCAAGGCGACGAUCCGUAACUGGUCUGAGAGGAUGAUCAGUCACACUGGAACUGAGACACGGUCCAGACUCCUACGGGAGGCAACAGUGGGGAAUAUUGGACAAUGGGCGAAAGCCUGAUCCAGCCAUGCCGCGUGUGUGAAGAAGGUCUUCGGAUUGUAAAGCACUUUAAGUUGGGAGGAAGGGCAGUAAGUUAAUACCUUGCUGUUUUGACGUUACCAACAGAAUAAGCACCGGCUAACUUCGUGCCAGCAGCCGCGGUAAUACGAAGGGUGCAAGCGUUAAUCGGAAUUACUGGGCGUAAAGCGCGCGUAGGUGGUUUGGUAAGAUGGAUGUGAAAUCCCCGGGCUCAACCUGGGAACUGCAUCCAUAACUGCCUGACUAGAGUACGGUAGAGGGUGGUGGAAUUUCCUGUGUAGCGGUGAAAUGCGUAGAUAUAGGAAGGAACACCAGUGGCGAAGGCGACCACCUGGACUGAUACUGACACUGAGGUGCGAAAGCGUGGGGAGCAAACAGGAUUAGAUACCUUGGUA
This 741-nucleotide ribosomal RNA is filed under the name Pseudomonas nitroreducens. Its description in RNAcentral is "bacterial SSU rRNA". It matches the Rfam family "Bacterial small subunit ribosomal RNA", at positions 56 to 792 of the family's 1533-position model. Lineage: Bacteria; Pseudomonadati; Pseudomonadota; Gammaproteobacteria; Pseudomonadales; Pseudomonadaceae. The record is from RNAcentral.